Molecule: ribosomal RNA, 892 nt
Filed under: Chaetomium globosum
Lineage: Eukaryota; Fungi; Ascomycota; Sordariomycetes; Sordariales; Chaetomiaceae
Description: LSU rRNA
Rfam family: Eukaryotic large subunit ribosomal RNA
Source: RNAcentral
GCAUAUCAUAAGCGGAGGAAAAGAAACCAACAGGGAUUGCCCUAGUAACGGCGAGUGAAGCGGCAACAGCUCAAAUUUGAAAUCUGGCUUCGGCCCGAGUUGUAAUUUGCAGAGGAAGCUUUAGGCGCGGCACCUUCUGAGUCCCCUGGAACGGGGCGCCAUAGAGGGUGAGAGCCCCGUAUAGUUGGAUGCCUAGCCUGUGUAAAGCUCCUUCGACGAGUCGAGUAGUUUGGGAAUGCUGCUCAAAAUGGGAGGUAAAUUUCUUCUAAAGCUAAAUACCGGCCAGAGACCGAUAGCGCACAAGUAGAGUGAUCGAAAGAUGAAAAGCACUUUGAAAAGAGGGUUAAAUAGCACGUGAAAUUGUUGAAAGGGAAGCGCUUGUGACCAGACUUGCGCCGGGCGGAUCAUCCGGUGUUCUCACCGGUGCACUCCGCCCGGCUCAGGCCAGCAUCGGUUCUCGCGGGGGGAUAAAGGUCCUGGGAACGUAGCUCCUCCGGGAGUGUUAUAGCCCGGGGCGUAAUGCCCUCGCGGGGACCGAGGUUCGCGCAUCUGCAAGGAUGCUGGCGUAAUGGUCAUCAGCGACCCGUCUUGAAACACGGACCAAGGAGUCAAGGUUUUGCGCGAGUGUUUGGGUGUAAAACCCGCACGCGUAAUGAAAGUGAACGUAGGUGAGAGCUUCGGCGCAUCAUCGACCGAUCCUGAUGUUUUCGGAUGGAUUUGAGUAGGAGCGUUAAGCCUUGGACCCGAAAGAUGGUGAACUAUGCUUGGAUAGGGUGAAGCCAGAGGAAACUCUGGUGGAGGCUCGCAGCGGUUCUGACGUGCAAAUCGAUCGUCAAAUCUGAGCAUGGGGGCGAAAGACUAAUCGAACCAUCUAGUAGCUGGUUACCGCCGA